CAUAAAAAUAAUACCAAGCACAAAAUUCCUAAAUAGGCAAAAAUUGUGCAUUGAGUUGCUCAUCGAGCCAACUAUUGACUAACUUUUGUUUUCGGAGAAAAACCUGACACGCCCAGAUCAGAGCCUACUAAGCGCGAAUUUUCCCUACCUCACAAUGAUAAGAAAACAACUUGCUCGCAAACUUUAUGUUUCUACACUACCGUUUUCCAGAAACCAAACAAAGCACAAAAGAAACGAAAAGUGCAAAUCUAGUGUAACCUUAUCUACAUUUUCAACAACCCAAAAGGGGAAAAAUGUGACAUUUUUUUCAGUUACACCUUUAACAAGCAAAUGAAAAAUUGCACGGUUAAAAAUGCUUGAUAUGUA
Molecule: unclassified non-coding RNA, 366 nt
Filed under: Hevea brasiliensis (rubber tree)
Lineage: Eukaryota; Viridiplantae; Streptophyta; Magnoliopsida; Malpighiales; Euphorbiaceae
Source: RNAcentral